This 1406-nucleotide ribosomal RNA is filed under the name uncultured bacterium. Its description in RNAcentral is "partial 16S ribosomal RNA". It matches the Rfam family "Bacterial small subunit ribosomal RNA". The record is from RNAcentral.
AGAGUUUGAUCCUGGCUCAGAUUGAUUUCUGGCGGCAUGCCUAACACAUGCAAGUCGAACGGCAGCACAGUAAAGAUUUCGGUCUUUAUGGGUGGCGAGUGGCGGACGGGUGAGUAAAGCGUAAGAAUCUGUCCUGGAGCGUGGGAUAACCCGAGGAAACUCGGGCUAAUACCACAUGAUAUCGAGAGAUCAAAAGCAGGGGACCGAAAGGCCUUGCGCUCUGGGGUGAGCCUACGUCGGAUUAGCUAGUUGGUGGGGUAAAAGCCUACCAAGGCGACGAUCCGUAGCUGGUCUGAGAGGAUGACCAGCCACACUGGGACUGAGACACGGCCCAGACUCCUACGGGAGGCAGCAGUGGGGAAUCUUGGACAAUGGGGGAAACCCUGAUCCAGCGAUGCCGCGUGUGUGAAGAAGGCCUUCGGGUUGUAAAGCACUCUAGGUGGGGAAGAAAGGUAACGAGCGAAUAGUUCGUUGCUAUGACGGUACCCGCAGAAUAAGCACCGGCUAACUCUGUGCCAGCAGCCGCGGUAAUACGUAGGGCGCAAGCGUUAUCCGGAAUUAUUGGGCGUAAAGAGCUCGUAGGCGGUUUGUCGCGUCUGCCGUGAAAGUCCGGGGCUCAACUCCGGAUCUGCGGUGGGUACGGGCAGACUAGAGUGAUGUAGGGGAGACUGGAAUUCCUGGUGUAGCGGUGAAGUGCGCAGAUAUCAGGAGGAACACCGAUGGCGAAGGCAGGUCUCUGGGCAUUAACUGACGCUGAGGAGCGAAAGCAUGGGGAGCGAACAGGAUUAGAUACCCUGGUAGUCCAUGCCGUAAACGAUGAACACUAGGUGUCGGGGGAAUCGACCCCCUCGGUGUCGUAGCCAACGCGUUAAGUGUUCCGCCUGGGGAGUACGCACGCAAGUGUGAAACUCAAAGGAAUUGACGGGGGCCCGCACAAGCGGUGGAGUAUGUGGUUUAAUUCGAUGCAACGCGAAGAACCUUACCAGGGUUUGACAUCCUGCGAAUCCCUUGGAAACUUGGGAGUGCCUUCGGGAGCGCAGAGACAGGUGGUGCAUGGCUGUCGUCAGCUCGUGUCGUGAGAUGUUGGGUUAAGUCCCGCAACGAGCGCAACCCACGUCUUUAGUUGCCAGCAUUUAGUUGGGCACUCUAGAGAGACCGCCGGUGAUAAACCGGAGGAAGGUGUGGAUGACGUCAAGUCAUCAUGCCCCUUACAUCCUGGGCUACACACGUACUACAAUGCUACGGACAAAGGGUUGCAAACUCGCGAGAGCUAGCUAAUCCCAUAAACCGUGGCUCAGUUCAGAUCGUAGGCUGCAACUCGCCUACGUGAAGGAGGAAUCGCUAGUAAUCGCAGGUCAGCAUACUGCGGUGAAUACGUUCCCGGGCCUUGCACUCACCGCCCGUCA